GCCCGCCUAGCUCAAUCGGAUAGAGCGUCAGACUCUUACGUCCUAGGCAUCGGGUAUCUGAAGGCUGCGAGUUCGACCCUCGCGGUGGGCU
RNAcentral lists this transfer RNA (91 nucleotides) under Galerina marginata CBS 339.88. It matches the Rfam family "tRNA". Rfam says of the family: Transfer RNA (tRNA) molecules are approximately 80 nucleotides in length. Their secondary structure includes four short double-helical elements and three loops (D, anti-codon, and T loops). The record is from Rfam by way of RNAcentral. Lineage: Eukaryota; Fungi; Basidiomycota; Agaricomycetes; Agaricales; Galerinaceae.